This 305-nucleotide ribosomal RNA is filed under the name uncultured bacterium. RNAcentral's name for it is "bacterial SSU rRNA". It matches the Rfam family "Bacterial small subunit ribosomal RNA", at positions 333 to 633 of the family's 1533-position model. The record is from RNAcentral.
UUGAUCCUACGGGAGGCAGCAGUGAGGAAUAUUGGUCAAUGGGCGGGAGCCUGAACCAGCCAAGCCGCGUGAGGGAAGAAGGUACAGCGUAUCGUAAACCUCUUUUGUCAGGGAACAAAGGCGGGGACUAGUCCCCGGAUGAGGGUACCUGAAGAAAAAGCAUCGGCUAACUCCGUGCCAGCAGCCGCGGUAAUACGGAGGAUGCGAGCGUUAUCCGGAGUGACUGGGUGUAAAGAGUUGCGUAGGUGGCAUAAUAAGUAGCUAGUGAAAUCUGGUGGCUCAACCAUUCAGACUAUUAGCUAAAA